GGUAUUUAUGUCAGUCGAAACACAUAUAUUCGUGCAGGAAUAGCUGAGUGGAAGAUCACUAAUCCAGUUCAUCUUGUGUGUUACUAUCGCUAUAUGAGAUUUUAUCCUUCUGGCAGGUUCCUUUAUAAGAAUUCAUCACAAAAAGUCAAAGAUGUAGCGAAGUACCUGAACUUCCGUGCCUCAAAAGCUGAUUGUGUUUUUAAGGGGAAUUACACUCUAUCAGAGGAUAAAGUUGAAGCUGCUCUUUUGUACCCGGGAAUGCGUCCAACUGUGUUGAGAUUCCGCUUAAGGUUGAGGGGUACAACCCAAGGUGCUAAUAACAGAAUGGAUCUACUUGCUCUUCUUACAAGUGGCGUGAAUGAUAAUGAGGUUAAUGGCCCGGAUGAAGACAUUCUUGGAGUUGUCGAGAGGUGGGAAGAGGAUGAAACACAUAACCCAGAUGUUCCAGCAAUUUCACACAAGAGGGGUCUAACACCUUUUGUCUUUGUUUCAUUUGAGGAGGUGGAAACUUCAGUUCUAAAUCUCCCAGUGGAAAAAAUGGAUUAUUAUGUUCCUGGUUAAGAACUGGAUCAAACAGACAAUCCAUUGGUUGUAAAUGUGUAACAUUGUUGUUUGUAACUCUUUUAUUUUUGGCAUGGCAUCUUAGAAUCGGGAAGUUUUCAAUGUGUUGUGAACAGGAAAUGGUCUCUCUACCUCCACGAGGUAGUGGUAAGGUCUGCGUUCAUCCUCCAUAUACUUUGCUUGUGGGACUUAUGAGAUUUCAAUGGGUAUGUUGUUGUCGUAAACAAGAUCCUAUCGAGCAAUAGAAGACCAGUAUAAUACCGGUCUUCUGCGUGUGUAUUGUAUGGCAGUUUGAAUAUGUUCCAAGUUGGAAUCUGUUUGCCG
RNAcentral lists this unclassified non-coding RNA (885 nucleotides) under Hevea brasiliensis (rubber tree). Lineage: Eukaryota; Viridiplantae; Streptophyta; Magnoliopsida; Malpighiales; Euphorbiaceae. The record is from RNAcentral.